Molecule: signal recognition particle RNA, 97 nt
Filed under: Ignavibacteriaceae bacterium
Lineage: Bacteria; Pseudomonadati; Ignavibacteriota; Ignavibacteria; Ignavibacteriales; Ignavibacteriaceae
Description: signal recognition particle sRNA small type
Rfam family: Bacterial small signal recognition particle RNA
About the family: The signal recognition particle (SRP) is a universally conserved ribonucleoprotein involved in the co-translational targeting of proteins to membranes. Archaeal SRP consists of a 7S RNA and homologues of the eukaryotic SRP19 and SRP54 proteins.
Source: RNAcentral
AUUAGGGCAGCGGUUAACAGGAUAGUGCCUAACUCCGUCAGGUCCGGAAGGAAGCAGCGGUAAGUACGAUUCUUGUGUAGCCGUCUGUCCUUUUUUA